CCGUAUGCACUUCCUCGCGGUUUGCAGUGGUCUGGUAGUACGAGGCUCGGCAGUCAAUGGACAUCUUGCAACCGCGAUUUUGACAUAAACGAACUGCUAUCUUUUUGUGCACCUUUCGAGCAGUAACCUGCGCCGUUUAUUGAAAGGGGGCCUCAGUUUUUGUCGUCUGCUGAACGUGGUUUUCUCGGCACAAAUCAACUUCAAUAAACUAGGCGACAGGGGAGAAGUCUAACAGAAGGCCUAUCAGACAGGUGCCAACUGGUUCUUCUAAAGGCAGGAAAGUCUUAGAGACUUAGCCAAAGUCAGGGAUGCUGAUCUACAUCUUGUGAGAAAAGAAAUAGCGACUGCUGCUGUUGCACAUACACAAUGGAAGUUGUCUAUUACAAGUCACAAAUUAUAGAUCUGACCACAAUGUUUGGACGUUAUUAUAAU
This is a long non-coding RNA of Corticium candelabrum, 432 nucleotides long. RefSeq lists it as uncharacterized. The transcript has 3 exons. The record is from RefSeq and is a predicted model, not a curated record. Lineage: Eukaryota; Metazoa; Porifera; Homoscleromorpha; Homosclerophorida; Plakinidae.